AGAGUGAACGCUGGCGGUAGGCCUAACACAUGCAAGUCGAACGGCAGCACGGUAAGAGCUUGCUCUUAUGGGUGGCGAGUGGCGGACGGGUGAGGAAUACAUCGGAAUCUACCUUUUGGUGGGGGAUAACGUAGGGAAACUUACGCUAAUACCGCAUACGCCCUUCGGGGGAAAGCCGGGGACCAGCAAUGGCCUGGUGCUGAUAGAUGAGCCGAUGGUCGGAUUAGCUA
Molecule: ribosomal RNA, 230 nt
Filed under: uncultured soil bacterium
Lineage: Bacteria
Description: partial 16S ribosomal RNA
Rfam family: Bacterial small subunit ribosomal RNA
Source: RNAcentral